This 450-nucleotide ribosomal RNA is filed under the name uncultured bacterium. RNAcentral describes it as "partial 16S ribosomal RNA". It matches the Rfam family "Bacterial small subunit ribosomal RNA", at positions 354 to 796 of the family's 1533-position model. The record is from RNAcentral.
GUGGGGAAUUUUGGACAAUGGGCGCAAGCCUGAUCCAGCAAUGCCGCGUGCAGGAAGAAGGCCUUCGGGUUGUAAACUGCUUUUGUACGGAACGAAACGGUCCGGGUUAAUACCCUGGGCUAAUGACGGUACCGUAAGAAUAAGCACCGGCUAACUACGUGCCAGCAGCCGCGGUAAUACGUAGGGUGCAAGCGUUAAUCGGAAUUACUGGGCGUAAAGCGUGCGCAGGCGGUUUUGUAAGACAGGCGUGAAAUCCCCGGGCUUAACCUGGGAAUUGCGCUUGUGACUGCAGUGCUGGAGUGCGGCAGAGGGGGAUGGAAUUCCGCGUGUAGCAGUGAAAUGCGUAGAUAUGCGGAGGAACACCGAUGGCGAAGGCAAUCCCCUGGGCCUGCACUGACGCUCAUGCACGAAAGCGUGGGGAGCAAACAGGAUUAGAAACCCUGGUAGUCC